Molecule: ribosomal RNA, 305 nt
Filed under: uncultured bacterium
Lineage: Bacteria
Description: bacterial SSU rRNA
Rfam family: Bacterial small subunit ribosomal RNA
Source: RNAcentral
CCUACGGGGCGCAGCAGUGGGGAAUAUUGCACAAUGGGGGAAACCCUGAUGCAGCGACGCCGCGUGAGUGAAGAAGUAUUUCGGUAUGUAAAGCUCUAUCAGCAGGGAAGAAAAUGACGGUACCUGACUAAGAAGCCCCGGCUAACUACGUGCCAGCAGCCGCGGUAAUACGUAGGGGGCAAGCGUUAUCCGGAUUUACUGGGUGUAAAGGGAGCGUAGACGGCAUGGCAAGUCAGAUGUGAAAGCCCGGGGCUCACCCCCGGGACUGCAUUUGAAGCUGGCAAACUGGAGUGUGUGAGAGGAUA